UGCACUUCGGGUAUAAGCCUGGGAAACUGGGUCUAAUACCGGAUAGGACCAUGGACUUCACGGUUUGUGGUGGAAAGCUUUGCGGUGUGGGAUGGGCCCGCGGCCUAUCAGCUUGUUGGUGGGGUAAUGGCCUACCAAGGCGACGACGGGUAGCCGGCCUGAGAGGGUGUCCGGCCACACUGGGACUGAGAUACGGCCCAGACUCCUACGGGAGGCAGCAGUGGGGAAUAUUGCACAAUGGGCGCAAGCCUGAUGCAGCGACGCCGCGUGAGGGAUGACGGCCUUCGGGUUGUAAACCUCUUUCAAUAGGGACGAAGCGCAAGUGACGGUACCUAUAGAAGAAGCACCGGCCAACUACGUG
RNAcentral lists this ribosomal RNA (361 nucleotides) under uncultured bacterium. Its description in RNAcentral is "bacterial SSU rRNA". It matches the Rfam family "Bacterial small subunit ribosomal RNA", at positions 132 to 507 of the family's 1533-position model. The record is from RNAcentral.